UUUUAAGUCAUUUGGAACCUUUUUCGUCUAUAUUUUACUGCCAACAGUUUGGAGGGUUGUUUGCUGCAACUUCGGAAAACUGAGUAAAAUUUUCACUUAUUUGUAAAGCUAAGUGCAACUUAUUCUAUCCAAAGUAUUUUUGUGGGGAAUGUUUGUUUGAAGGUGGGUGAGGUCAGAUGUAAAUAUAAGUUUUAAUGUGCUUGGAGCAACUGUCAUUGUGCUAAAUCUGCUAUGAGAGAGUAAUGAAUCUCUCUUCCAAACCUCUCUCUCUCCAGCAUCACCAAGCCUCAUAACCUUGUUUGCAAUAAGGGGUAAAUAUUGAGCUAUCUUACAGGGUUGUUGUAAGGUAACAAAUGCAACCUGAAAGUGCAGUAAAAUAAUGACUGCUAGCCUUGCCUCCAUUUUUUCUCCUUUUCCAAUAGUCAGUCAACAUUUGUGUGUUUACAGAGCAAGCUCCAUUUUCCUUCAGUGUUUUAUGGUGGCAGGGUCGCCCACUUCGAUUCCCACCCCAAAUAUCAUUACAUUUUUUGUUAACUUCCGGAGCAUGCCAUUACUGCCUUGUUUGUUCAUUUGGUUCCAAUCCUGUCAGCGCUCCUCACCUAAGUUCACUAUUGUGCAUAAGAACACCCAAAAGCACUACUUAAGUGCAAAGUAUUAUAAACGGGUAAGAGCAAAGGUUUAGAGUAAUGAAAACAUUAUCUCACUGCAACUCUCUCCUGCCUCACAGUAAUGUCAGUGAAAUGAACACUGUGAUCCUAUAUAUGUCUGCUCAUAAAUAGAGUUCUAGAUGUACUUCAUGUACAGUGGUACCUCGGGGUAAGAACUUAAUUCGUUCUGGAGGUCCAUUCUUAACCUGAAGCACCACUCUAGCUAAUGGGGCCUCCCGCUGCCGCCGCACCGCCAGAGCAUGAUUUCUGUUCUUAACCUGAAGCAAAGUUCUUAACCCAAGGUACUAUUUCUGGGUUAGUGGAGUCUAACCUGAAGCGUAUGUAACCCGAGGUACCACUGUACAACCUAGUUAAACUAUGUGACUUGCUCGCAUAAGGGAGCAGCCAUCUUUGAUGGCUUUAAAAUAGGAUUGGACAAAUUCAUGGAGGAGCAGACUAUUGAUGACUACCAUCCAUGAUGGUUCUUGCUCUGCCUCCAUGGUCAGAGGCAAAACAGUUCCUGGAAACCACAGAGAGGGAAAGUGAUAUUGCACUCGGGACUUGUUUGUGGCGUUUUUUGUGAAAUGCCGUGAGGCAUUUUUUGUGAAAUGCCCCGAGAUCUUCAGUGUGGUGUAGUGGUUAAGAGUGGUGGACUCGUAAUCUGGGGAACUGGGUUCGAUUCCCUGUUCCUCCACAUGCAGCUGCUGGGUGACCUUGGGCCAGUCACACUUCUUUGAAGUCUCUCAGCCCCACUCACCUCACAGAGUGUUUGUUGUGGGGGAGGAAGGGAAAGGAGAAUGUUAGCCGCUUUGAGACUCCUUCGGGUAGUGAUAAAGUGGGAUAUCAAAUCCAAACUCCUCCUCCUAUACAAAUUUAAUAAAUCUUCAUUAUCAUCCUCAUCUGGUUGGCCACAGUGAGGAUAGGAUUUCAAAUGGCCUCUGAUUUCAAAUGGCCUCCCUCCCAGUUUAAGCAGCAUUACCCACACCCCCAAACUUGAAGCCGAUACCACGGUUUAUGUCUGGUGCAUCAGGGAUGGCAUUUUACUUGCCAAGCAAUAGGAGUUCUGUAUGCUUCAUAACAGUCACUGAAUUAGCACUUCUAGCCCAUAGAAAAGCUACUGAUACUCUAGAUCAAAGCGCAUGCUGUGAACAUCCUGGGGUCACAUUUGGGCAACAAUUUUGUUGACAAAGGCAACAGAGGAAGCGGGAAUUCUGUUAACUAGUCCGCAACCUAGUCUUGGAACCCCUGCUGAGAAUAAUAUUACCAUAUACAGAAUGGCAUUUAUUUCUAAUGCCUCCUCUUCUGAGCUCUGUACCAUAUGCUGCUUUUUUUGCAGCAGCAGCAAUAAUAAUGAUAAUAAUAAUAAUAAUAAUAAAAAGAAUGAUGAUAAUAAUAAUAAAUUAAAAAGAAAAUACCCCAGCGGUCUCCGCGUUCAGUGCAAAUCCUACAAGGUUUUCCUGAACAAAUAGCAGAUAGUGACCUUUUGGCCUUUGUUUUGCAUGAGAAUUAACAUCAGUAUUCAGUAGUUACUACUGUGACUAGGGACUACUGCAAAUGCCAGAUUCUGAUUUAAAACUCGGGUGUGUGUGUGUUUUUUAAGAACCCAGAAGAAAAGGGGGUCUUUGAAGCUCAUCUGCAUUACAGAUCAGGCCUCUCUGAGAAAAUCAACCAUCCAUAAUUCAUUACAUGUUUCCUGCAGGGCUUGGAGACAGCAGCGAUCCUAGCAACAGCAGAGUCAUAGCAACAGCUGCAAAGCCGGCCAAUCCAGCGUCAUCCUUCCUUAUGCAACGUAACCAAUCAGAAUGGGGAGCACCAGGCUGAAAUGUUGUCAGCCAACUGGUUAUUCUGUCAUAAGCCUAGUUUUUAAACUAAUGUGUGCUAUUGGAAUUUUCACUAGCAUGCUGAAGGGGAAAAGGUCUGAAGCCAUUUUUUUGCUGAAACGUAGAAUGAAAUGAAAUGCAAAAUUGUGGACUUGAAAAAAUUCUCCAUUCCUCCAAAUUUUUAGCCCAGUGCAUCAAUUAAGUAUAUUUAGACUACUCCAGUGUACUAUCACUUUCAUAUGGAGCUCAUCACAAUAUCACUGGUCAAAAUGGUUUUCAUUAUGAUAAAACAGCACAUUUUACAGACUUUUAGGCUGCAAUCCUAGAUCCGUUUACCUGGCAGUAAGCCCUAUUUAACUCUGUGGGACAUAAUUUUGAGGAGAUAUAUUUAGGAUUGCAUUGCCAAACUUUCACAUUUAUUCCUCCAUCGCUGCUUCCUGAAUGAUUUUCCAUAUUUUAUAAUGUGUUUCUGCUUAGCCACAAAACUACAGAAAUAAUCAUUUGGGGUGGGGUGGAAAUACAAAAGGUGCCAUACGUUGCUUAAGAGCUUGGUUAAUUGUGACUAGUUGUUCCCCUCCAUUGUGAUGUCAAAACAGCAAUGCUUUCGCAAUCUAAAACAUAAC
RNAcentral lists this long non-coding RNA (3090 nucleotides) under Podarcis lilfordi (Lilford's wall lizard). The record is from RNAcentral. Lineage: Eukaryota; Metazoa; Chordata; Lepidosauria; Squamata; Lacertidae.